UUGGAGAAGCGGGACUGGAUGUGUUGGUUGAACCUCCUUGCUUCUUCUAGUUAAUCCGACCUAGUUCUAUAUUUUCAUCUAUGUUGUCAUCAUACAAAUUAUAACACACAAUAAAAGUAUAAUGUGCAUAUUAAAAAGUAGGAUUGUUCAUGAAUUUAUUUUAGAGUGGCUUGCAUCAGAUUCUGUUCACACAGAUAUUUAUGUAACUAUAUUGCAUUUCAGUCAGUGUGUAGCUAUCUGGUGAUUUCUCACUUUUGAAUAUUCAGACAGCAGCAUUAACAUAAAAGUAUAGGAAACAGACCCUAUUGAGCACAUCUGAUUCAGAAACACUUGCCCUGACUUGGCAUUGUCUGCCCAGGAUUCCUAUAUGUUUAGAUAAUGUGUUGUAGUUGGCUCAUCCUGGUCUUCUUUAUUACACAGAAUGCAGCUGUACAGGUGUUGAUUAUAAAUUGUAUGAUUUUAACUGUAUUUGUGUUUAGAUUGGCUGCAGUGGUGCUGGAGCGGCCUAAGUCAGAGGAGUCCUCCAUGUGCGUUGCCAUGGAGACCGAUGCAGGAGAGAGAGAAGUGGGAGGAGCUUAGAGGGGAGAGUUUGAAAGAACGACAGUUAAAAAUCAGUUAGGUUUUAGGUUCCGAGGAGUGAGGAGUGAGGGUUUAGGUUUAGAGGAGUUGGUAGAGGAAAGGAUUAGGAGGUUGUAGCUGAAAGAGAGUAAAUUGUGAAGCAAAGUUUCGAGGCUUUGGAAAGCCAGAUUAAGCUACUGGAAGUUUCUUAGCCUAGAGAGGCUGAUAAGGGAAACGAAGCCAGUAUUCCUUUAGUCUAAGGAAAGGCUAAAGAAUAAUCUUAUUAAGUAUCUGAUCAAGGGAGGAUCAGAUAAGGGAGACAUCCCUGUAUUGAAACUUUGUUUUGUAAUAAGUGCUUCACCUCAGGAAGAUACUGUGUAACCUGAAAGAGUGUAACAUUCAACUAACCAAGCAUUGUUCUAAGUUCUAUAACAAAAGUUACGUCUUGCAACCACACGCUGUGUACUUAAUAAAAUUGUUAACUUUUAUUUGAA
Non-coding RNA from Anolis sagrei ordinatus, 1052 nucleotides. The record is from RefSeq and is a predicted model, not a curated record. Lineage: Eukaryota; Metazoa; Chordata; Lepidosauria; Squamata; Anolidae.